RNAcentral lists this ribosomal RNA (253 nucleotides) under uncultured bacterium. RNAcentral's name for it is "partial 16S ribosomal RNA". It matches the Rfam family "Bacterial small subunit ribosomal RNA", at positions 524 to 776 of the family's 1533-position model. The record is from RNAcentral.
UACAGAGGGUGCGAGCGUUGUCCGGAAUCACUGGCGGUAAAGGGCGCGUAGGCGGCUUGGUAAGUAGGGGGUGAAAUCUCAUGGCUCAACUGUGAGGCUGCCUUCUAGACUGCCGGGCUUGAGCACAGUAGAGGCGAGUGGAAUUCCCGGUGUAGCGGUGGAAUGCGUAGAGAUCGGGGAGAACAUCGGUGGCGAAGGCGGCUCGCUGGGUUGUUGGUGACGCUGAGCCGUGAAAGCGUGGGGAGCAAACAGG